Molecule: long non-coding RNA, 140 nt
Organism: Chelonia mydas (Green sea turtle)
Lineage: Eukaryota; Metazoa; Chordata; Testudines; Cheloniidae
Exons: 3
Source: RefSeq, a predicted model, not a curated record
AAAGGACUUUAUGGAAAAGAAUCUUUCCUUUGGAAGUGACACUGAGGUUCUGUCUGUGCUACUAGAAUUCCUACUUCCUCAAAGUUUGUAGGAGUUUGGAAUAAGCUAGCAAAAAGAACCCUCCACUAUACCCUGACUGA